Molecule: ribosomal RNA, 451 nt
Filed under: uncultured bacterium
Lineage: Bacteria
Description: partial 16S ribosomal RNA
Rfam family: Bacterial small subunit ribosomal RNA
Source: RNAcentral
GUGGGGAAUAUUGGACAAUGGGCGAAAGCCUGAUCCAGCCAUGCCGCGUGUGUGAAGAAGGUCUUCGGAUUGUAAAGCACUUUAAGCGAGGAGGAGGCUACCGAGAUUAAUACUCUUGGAUAGUGGACGUUACUCGCAGAAUAAGCACCGGCUAACUCUGUGCCAGCAGCCGCGGUAAUACAGAGGGUGCAAGCGUUAAUCGGAUUUACUGGGCGUAAAGCGCGCGUAGGUGGCCAAUUAAGUCAAAUGUGAAAUCCCCGAGCUUAACUUGGGAAUUGCAUUCGAUACUGGUUGGCUAGAGUAUGGGAGAGGAUGGUAGAAUUCCAGGUGUAGCGGUGAAAUGCGUAGAGAUCUGGAGGAAUACCGAUGGCGAAGGCAGCCAUCUGGCCUAAUACUGACACUGAGGUGCGAAAGCAUGGGGAGCAAACAGGAUUAGAAACCCCGGUAGUCC